CGAGUUAUCUGAACCUUCGGGGAACGAUAACGGCGUCGAGCGGCGGACGGGUGAGUAAUGCCUAGGAAAUUGCCCUGAUGUGGGGGAUAACCAUUGGAAACGAUGGCUAAUACCGCAUGAUGCCUACGGGCCAAAGAGGGGGACCUUCGGGCCUCUCGCGUCAGGAUAUGCCUAGGUGGGAUUAGCUAGUUGGUGAGGUAAGGGCUCACCAAGGCGACGAUCCCUAGCUGGUCUGAGAGGAUGAUCAGCCACACUGGAACUGAGACACGGUCCAGACUCCUACGGGAGGCAGCAGUGGGGAAUAUUGCACAAUGGGCGCAAGCCUGAUGCAGCCAUGCCGCGUGUGUGAAGAAGGCCUUCGGGUUGUAAAGCACUUUCAGUCGUGAGGAAGGUAGUGUAGUUAAUAGCUGCAUUAUUUGACGUUAGCGACAGAAGAAGCACCGGCUAACUCCGUGCCAGCAGCCGCGGUAAUACGGAGGGUGCGAGCGUUAAUCGGAAUUACUGGGCGUAAAGCGCAUGCAGGUGGUUUGUUAAGUCAGAUGUGAAAGCCCGGGGCUCAACCUCGGAAUAGCAUUUGAAACUGGCAGACUAGAGUACUGUAGAGGGGGGUAGAAUUUCAGGUGUAGCGGUGAAAUGCGUAGAGAUCUGAAGGAAUACCGGUGGCGAAGGCGGCCCCCUGGACAGAUACUGACACUCAGAUGCGAAAGCGUGGGGAGCAAACAGGAUUAGAUACCCUGGUAGUCCACGCCGUAAACGAUGUCUACUUGGAGGUUGUGGCCUUGAGCCGUGGCUUUCGGAGCUAACGCGUUAAGUAGACCGCCUGGGGAGUACGGUCGCAAGAUUAAAACUCAAAUGAAUUGACGGGGGCCCGCACAAGCGGUGGAGCAUGUGGUUUAAUUCGAUGCAACGCGAAGAACCUUACCUACUCUUGACAUCCAGAGAACUUUCCAGAGAUGGAUUGGUGCCUUCGGGAACUCUGAGACAGGUGCUGCAUGGCUGUCGUCAGCUCGUGUUGUGAAAUGUUGGGUUAAGUCCCGCACCGAGCGCAACCCUUAUCCCUUGGUUGCCAGCGGAGUAAUGU
Molecule: ribosomal RNA, 1081 nt
Filed under: Vibrio alginolyticus
Lineage: Bacteria; Pseudomonadati; Pseudomonadota; Gammaproteobacteria; Vibrionales; Vibrionaceae
Description: bacterial SSU rRNA
Rfam family: Bacterial small subunit ribosomal RNA
Source: RNAcentral